This 674-nucleotide ribosomal RNA is filed under the name Glutamicibacter soli. RNAcentral describes it as "bacterial SSU rRNA". It matches the Rfam family "Bacterial small subunit ribosomal RNA", at positions 780 to 1447 of the family's 1533-position model. The record is from RNAcentral. Lineage: Bacteria; Bacillati; Actinomycetota; Actinomycetes; Micrococcales; Micrococcaceae.
AAAUACCCUGGUAGUCCCUACCGUAAACGUUGACAACUGGGGGUGGGGGACAUUCCACGUUUUCCGCGCCGUAGCUAACGCAUUAAGUGCCCCGCCUGGGGAGUACGGCCGCAAGGCUAAAACUCAAAGGAAUUGACGGGGGCCCGCACAAGCGGCGGAGCAUGCGGAUUAAUUCGAUGCAACGCGAAGAACCUUACCAAGGCUUGACAUGUUCCAGAUCGCCUCAGAGAGGGGGUUUCCCUUCGGGGCUGGUUCACAGGUGGUGCAUGGUUGUCGUCAGCUCGUGUCGUGAGAUGUUGGGUUAAGUCCCGCAACGAGCGCAACCCUCGUUCCAUGUUGCCAGCGGGUUAUGCCGGGGACUCAUGGGAGACUGCCGGGGUCAACUCGGAGGAAGGUGGGGAUGACGUCAAAUCAUCAUGCCCCUUAUGUCUUGGGCUUCACGCAUGCUACAAUGGCCGGUACAAUGGGUUGCGAUACUGUGAGGUGGAGCUAAUCCCUAAAAGCCGGUCUCAGUUCGGAUUGGGGUCUGCAACUCGACCCCAUGAAGUCGGAGUCGCUAGUAAUCGCAGAUCAGCAACGCUGCGGUGAAUACGUUCCCGGGCCUUGUACACACCGCCCGUCAAGUCACGAAAGUUGGUAACACCCGAAGCCGAUGGCCUAACCCACCCUUGUGU